ACACAGCUGACGAGUCCCAAAUAGGACGAAACGCACAUCUUGCAU
Schistosoma curassoni is the source of this 45-nucleotide non-coding RNA. The record is from Rfam. Lineage: Eukaryota; Metazoa; Platyhelminthes; Trematoda; Strigeidida; Schistosomatidae.